Molecule: ribosomal RNA, 468 nt
Filed under: uncultured bacterium
Lineage: Bacteria
Description: partial 16S ribosomal RNA
Rfam family: Bacterial small subunit ribosomal RNA
Source: RNAcentral
GACGAACGCUGGCGGCGUGCUUAACACAUGCAAGUCGAACGGAAAGGCCCUGCUUUUGUGGGGUGCUCGAGUGGCGAACGGGUGAGUAACACGUGAGUAACCUGCCCUUGACUUUGGGAUAACUUCAGGAAACUGGGGCUAAUACCGGAUAGGAGCUCCUGCUGCAUGGUGGGGGUUGGAAAGUUUCGGCGGUUGGGGAUGGACUCGCGGCUUAUCAGCUUGUUGGUGGGGUAGUGGCUUACCAAGGCUUUGACGGGUAGCCGGCCUGAGAGGGUGACCGGCCCCAUUGGGACUGAGAUACGGCCCAGACUCCUACGGGAGGCAGCAGUGGGGAAUAUUGCACAAGGGGCGGAAGCCUGAUGCAGCAACGCCGCGUGCGGGAUGACGGCCUUCGGGUUGUAAACCGCUUUCGCCUGUGACGAAGCGUGAGUGACGGUAAUGGGUAAAGAAGCACCGGCUAACUACGUG